CAAGAACCACACAGAAAAGGGAGGCAAAGGGGCCUACAGGGCUAGUAGCUUAUACGUUGUUGAACGUCCUGCCUGGACCCGGAGCCGCCCCCAUCUAAACCCUCUGCGUACCUGUCCCUUCUUGCUUCCCCCGGCAUCUCGUCGGGGGGAGGUAACAACCAAAACCCUCUGUGAAUCAAACAGCCGUCAGAAUUAUAAAACAAACAAAAGUUAAAACUUUCAACAACGGAUCUCUUGGUUCCCACAUCGAUGAAGAACGCAGCGAAAUGCGAUAAGUAAUGUGAAUUGCAGAAUUCAGUGAAUCAUCGAAUCUUUGAACGCACAUUGCGCCCCCUGGUAUUCCGGGGGGCAUGCCUGUUCGAGCGUCAUAAAAACCUCCUCCCCCUUCGGGUUUUGUUACUAUCGUUGGGGGGUUUUGGCCUAAUGGGAUAGCGAUUGGCAAUUCGUUUCCCAAUGUCCUAAAUAGACGUAGACCCGCCUCCAGAUGCGACAGCACCGAGGCCAUCAACCGUGGAGUUAUGGGAUAUAAUAGGCUUGCAGUAAAAUGCUCACCUCUCUCCACACGCCGAUGGCACGACAGUUGCAGUUGCGGGCGUAAAUUGGAGCCCUUUUCAGGACCCUUGUGGCCUAGCAUCCACCAUACAUAAUUUGACCUCGGAUCAGGUAGGGAUACCCGCUGAACUUAAGCAU
Molecule: ribosomal RNA, 690 nt
Rfam family: 5.8S ribosomal RNA (bases 215-368)